AUUGAACGCUAGCGGGAUGCCUUACACAUGCAAGUCGAACGGAGUUGCGAACGGGUGGGUAAUGUAUCGGAACGUGCCCAGUAGCUGGGGAUAACUACGCGAAAGCGUAGCUAAUACCGCAUACUAUUGGAGCUGCCGUUAUCGGAUUAGCUAGUUGGUGGGGUAAGGGCUCACCAAGGCGACGAUCCGUAGCUGGUCUGAGAGGCCGACCAGCCACACUGGGACUGAGACACGGCCCAGACUCCUACGGGAGGCAGCAGUGGGGAAUUUUGGACAAUGGGGGAAAGCCUGAUCCAGCCAUCCCGCGUGUGCGAUGAAGGCCUUCGGGUUGUAAAGCACUUUUGGCAGGAAAGCGGUACCUGCAGAAUAAGCACCGGCUAACUACGUGCCAGCAGCCGCGGUAAUAC
RNAcentral lists this ribosomal RNA (407 nucleotides) under uncultured bacterium. RNAcentral describes it as "partial 16S ribosomal RNA". It matches the Rfam family "Bacterial small subunit ribosomal RNA", at positions 30 to 526 of the family's 1533-position model. The record is from RNAcentral.